GGAGAAAAGCAGGGGAUCGCAAGACCUUGCGCUAUUGGAGCGGCCGAUGCCUGAUUAGCUUGUUGGUGAGGUAAAAGCUCACCAAGGCUUCGAUCAGUAGCUGGUCUGAGAGGACGACCAGCCACACUGGGACUGAGACACGGCCCAGACUCCUACGGGAGGCAGCAGUGGGGAAUUUUGGACAAUGGGGGAAACCCUGAUCCAGCCAUGCCGCGUGAGUGAAGAAGGCCUCCGGGUUGUAAAGCUCUUUCAGCCGGAACGAAACGGUUACGGUUAAUACCCGUGACUACUGACGGUACCGGAAGAAGAAGCACCGGCUAACUACGUGCCAGCAGCCGCGGUAAUACGUAGGGUGCGAGCGUUAAUCGGAAUUACUGGGCGUAAAGCGUGCGCAGGCGGUUUUGUAAGUCAGAUGUGAAAUCCCCGGGCUUAACCUGGGAACUGCGUUUGAAACUACAAAGCUAG
This 465-nucleotide ribosomal RNA is filed under the name uncultured bacterium. RNAcentral's name for it is "bacterial SSU rRNA". It matches the Rfam family "Bacterial small subunit ribosomal RNA", at positions 198 to 644 of the family's 1533-position model. The record is from RNAcentral.